GCAAGUCGAACGAGGUCUUCGGACCUAGUGGCGCACGGGUGAGUAACAUGUGGGAAUCUACCUGAAGGUUCGGAAUAACUGCGGGAAACUGUAGCUAAUACCGGAUGUGUCUGCAAAGAGAAAGAUUUAUCGCCUUCAGAUGAGCCCGCACUAGAUUAGCUAGUUGGUGAGGUAAUUGCUCCACCGAGGCUACGAUCUAUAGCUGAUUUGAGAGGAUAAUCAGCCACACUGGGACUGAGACACGGCCCAGACUCCUACGGGAGGCAGCAGUAGGGAAUAUUGGACAAUGGGGGAAACCCUGAUCCAGCAAUGCCGCGUGAGUGAAGAAGGCCUUCGGGUUGUAAAGCUCUUUCAUAAAUGAUGAUAAUGACAUUAGUUUAAGAAGAAGCCCCGGCUAACUUCGUGCCAGCAGCCGCGGUAAUACGAAGGGGGCUAGCGUUGUUCGGAAUCACUGGGCGUAAAGCGUAUGUAGGCGGAUCAAAAAGUUAGAUGUGAAAUCCCUGGGCUCAACCCAGGAACUGCAUUUAAAACUAGUGAUCUAGAAUUUGGUAGGGGUUAGUAGAAUUUCCAGUGUAGAGGUGAAAUUCGUAGAUAUUGGAAAGAAUACCAGUGGCGAAGGCGACUAACUGGGCCAUUUUUGACGCUAAGAUACGAAAGCGUGGGUAGCAAACAGGAUUAGAUACUCUGGUAGUCCACGCAGUAAACGAUGAGUGCUAGUCGCUGGGACAAUAGUUUCAGUGUCGAAGCUAACGCAUUAAGCACUCCGCCUGGGAAGUACGGUCGCAAGAUUAAAACUCAAAUAAAUUGACGGGGGCCCGCACAAGCGGUGGAGCAUGUGGUUUAA
Molecule: ribosomal RNA, 844 nt
Filed under: uncultured bacterium
Lineage: Bacteria
Description: bacterial SSU rRNA
Rfam family: Bacterial small subunit ribosomal RNA
Source: RNAcentral